UACGGAGGGGACUAGCGUUGUUCGCAAUUACUGGGCGUAAAGCGCGCGUAGGCGGAUUAGUAAGUCAGAGGUGAAAUCCCAGGGCUCAACCUUGGAAAUGCCUUUGAUACUGCUAGUCUUGAGUUCGAGAGAGGUGAAUGGAAUUCCGGGUGUAGAGGUGAAAUUCGUAGAUAUUCGGAGGAACACCAGUGGCGAAGGCGGCUCACUGGGUCGAUACUGACGCUGAGGUGCGAAAGUGUGGGGAGCAAACAGG
This 253-nucleotide unclassified non-coding RNA is filed under the name uncultured Rhodobacterales bacterium. RNAcentral describes it as "contains 16S-23S intergenic spacer region". It matches the Rfam family "Bacterial small subunit ribosomal RNA", at positions 524 to 776 of the family's 1533-position model. Lineage: Bacteria; Pseudomonadati; Pseudomonadota; Alphaproteobacteria; Rhodobacterales. The record is from RNAcentral.